Molecule: long non-coding RNA, 408 nt
Organism: Capsicum annuum
Lineage: Eukaryota; Viridiplantae; Streptophyta; Magnoliopsida; Solanales; Solanaceae
Exons: 3
Source: RefSeq, a predicted model, not a curated record
AGACUAGUAGUAGUAGAUACGCUGAGGCAAAAACGACACCGUGCCUUGCGUUCCGUAACCGCCGAAUAUAUAAAUAUCAAAAGCUUCUUCAUUUGUUCCUCACUGUCAGUUGGCGUUCUUCGGAAGCUCGAAAAUCUAGAGAGAACCAUAUUCACAAGUAAAGCACAAGAAUGGAAGGCACUGUCUUCACCCCUGCUUUAGAAGGAAUCAAACAUGUCAAAUCUGAGGAAGGAGUAAUGCUUACCAAACCUUUCUUAGAUGUUUGCAAACACAUCUUGCCUAUUAUAGAAAAGUUUGGAGCUGCCAUGGCACUGGUCAAGUCUGACAUUGGUGGAAAUAUAACGGUCGGUCUCCAAUCUUUGCCUUUUAUCUGAAAACCUAUAUUUCGGUGCGGCUAUACAAAUAUCA